UACCUGGACAGACGUUGGGGAGCCUCCUUCUAGUGCACCUCGGUCUAUUUCCUGCUCAUCCCUACUCACCACGCCUGUCCUCCUUCCCCAUGCCUCCUGCCCCCAGCUGCAGUCUCAGUAUCCACUGAAGUUUAGCAGGUGCUGAGGGGGUUAAUAGGACAGCAUGCACCAAACCAACCCGCAGGCACGUGGCUCCGCAGGCCAGCAAGGAGCCAGUACUGGCCACCUCACCCGCCCGCUGCCCACCUCGCAUCAGAGCUGGAGUAAACUGUUCCUGAACCUCCUGACCCAUCUCCACUUCCUAAGGGCUCUGGGCACAGGCAGGUAGGGAGCCACUGCCUCCAUCCCUCCCUUCCCCUUUCUCUGUUUUCUGCCAGGUUCUUUCCAAACACCCUUUCAGGCAAAGGGAGGAUGGGGGUAGGGAGCCCCAGACAGAUGAGCUCAUUGGGAGAAGGAGGGCAGAGGAAGGAGGGAGCUGAAACAUCCUUCCCAGGGAGAAGCUCACCGGACAGUCCCAAGCUGGAGAGGGGCGUGUGCCCUCUUCUAGGAGCAAGCGUCUGCUUCCCUCACUGCAGCUCAGAGAUGGGAUCCUUUCAGGCUGGAUAUGCACCCACCCAUCACCGCAGCCCUUCCCAAGAGCGGCAGCAUGACCCAGAUUCUGGAAUCUCUUCCUUCUCCUACUCCAGCCCUGGAAGCAGUGGCUGCAGAGGUGGAAAUAGAGGCACCAAAAAAAAAAAAAAAAUUUCAUCUUGGUCCCCACGGUGCUGACUUUGCAGUUCCCCACUGUGUUAUGGCUUUGUGUGCAUCCCCAGCACCUGGCACCGUGCCUGGCACACAGGAGAUGCUCAAUAAAUGGAUGUUGGAUUGAAGUGAAUUAAACUGAAUCACCCAGA
Molecule: long non-coding RNA, 893 nt
Organism: Phacochoerus africanus (Common warthog)
Lineage: Eukaryota; Metazoa; Chordata; Mammalia; Artiodactyla; Suidae
Exons: 3
Source: RefSeq, a predicted model, not a curated record